GAUGAACGCUGGCGGCGUGCCUAAUACAUGCAAGUCGAGCGAACGGACGAGAAGCUUGCUUCUCUGAUGUUAGCGGCGGACGGGUGAGUAACACGUGGAUAACCUACCUAUAAGACUGGGAUAACUUCGGGAAACCGGAGCUAAUACCGGAUAAUAUUUUGAACCGCAUGGUUCAAAAGUGAAAGACGGUCUUGCUGUCACUUAUAGAUGGAUCCGCGCUGCAUUAGCUAGUUGGUAAGGUAACGGCUUACCAAGGCAACGAUGCAUAGCCGACCUGAGAGGGGGAUCGGCCACACUGGAACGGAGACACGGACCAUACUCCUACGGGAGGCAGCAGUAGGGUAUCUUCCGCAGUGGGCGAAAGCCUGACGGAGCAACGCCGCGUGAGUGAUGAAGGUCUUCGGAUCGUAAAACUCUGUUAUUAGGGAAGAACAUAUGUGUAAGUAACUGUGCACAUCUUGACGGUACCUAAUCAGAAAGCCACGGCUAACUACGUG
Molecule: ribosomal RNA, 497 nt
Filed under: uncultured bacterium
Lineage: Bacteria
Description: partial 16S ribosomal RNA
Rfam family: Bacterial small subunit ribosomal RNA
Source: RNAcentral